GUGUCAGCAGCCGCGGUAACACGGGGGGAGCAAGCGUUGUUCGGAAUCACUGGGCGUAAAGGGUGUCUAGGCGGUCAGGUAAGUGAGAUGUGAAAUGCCCCGGCUUACCCGGGGACCGGCAUCUCAUACUGUCUGGCUUGAGUAUGGGAGAGGAUGAGGGAAUUCCUGGUGUAGCGGUGAAAUGCGUAGAUAUCAGGAGGAACACCGGUGGCGAAAGCGCUCAUCUGGCCCAAUACUGACGCUGAAGCACGAAAGCUAGGGGAGCAAACGGGAUUAGAAACCCUGGUAGUCC
Molecule: ribosomal RNA, 292 nt
Filed under: uncultured bacterium
Lineage: Bacteria
Description: partial 16S ribosomal RNA
Rfam family: Bacterial small subunit ribosomal RNA
Source: RNAcentral